This 2458-nucleotide small RNA is filed under the name Rattus norvegicus (Norway rat). RNAcentral describes it as "uncharacterized LOC102556543". Lineage: Eukaryota; Metazoa; Chordata; Mammalia; Rodentia; Muridae. The record is from RNAcentral.
UAUCUAUCUAUCUAUCUAUCUAUCUAUCUAUCUGUGUUUUUUCUAUCUGUGUGUCUGUGUUCAUACCAUGCAUAGUUCAUACUUGAAGAUCAGAGGACCAUUUGUAGAAGUUGGAUCUUUCCACUAUGUGGAUCCCAAGAAUCAAACUCAUGUUAUCAGGCUUAGAGCCUUUAGGCACUGAGCCAUUGAGCUGGCCCAAACAGGCGUCUUUGAAAUGCACUCUCCCAAUUUUGUUCAAGAAAUAUAUAGCGGCAGGAUUACAUGAUAAAAUUAGGUACUGCAGUAUGGACAAUUAAGGGUGCGAAAAUUCAUUGAAUAUGAAUUUUCAUAUUCAUACUUAUUGAAUAUGGGGUACAAAUAAAUCAGGCCCAAAUUGCAGUACCAAACACUGCCUCUUCAAAGCAUCCUAAGAUAUAAGACAUGGACUGUGGGGAGGCCUGAGAGAUGGUGAUUGAGAGCCCAGGUAAAGUGCUGUGUUGGCAGAAGCAAAGAAAGAGAAAACUUUAAAGCAUCUUCUGGCCAGGCAACCUUUAGGAAGAAGAUCAUGUCUGGGUUUCUCUUUUGGAGUGUUUGGCCAUCUCAUGUUUGUGACUUAAGAAUUCUCAGAAUCUUACGUACACAGGGUGUUUUUCACAGAAGCCACCUCCCCUCUCCCCCCACCGCCUCACUGGAAGGUUUGAGUCACUCAGGAUCUGGAGUGGAGUGACAAGCCUCUUCAGAUAAUUGCUGUGAAUGGGAGUCAGCAGAUUACUUACCAGAUGCCCAAGACCACCCCAAUCACAGGACAAAGGAACAGGUUGGACAGUCUGUGACUCAGCUGAAGAAAAUCCAAAGACUUCAAAAAUAUUUUAUAUACCUACAUUUAUGAAUCUAGCAAUGAGUUAUCGCCAUUUAGCAAGAAGAUAGUUUAUCUAGUUUAUUUCCCACAAUCUUUACAAGUGGGAAAAACCAACGUUGCGCCACAAACCGCAAAAUGCCAGGAAAGAAAAAGAAUUCGCUGUUCUUUAUUUAACUCAACUGCAGCCAACUGAGUUUCCUCCUUGUUAGCUUCUUUUCCUCCCAAACAAAACAAAUUUAUAAUAGAAACACUUUCCUGGCACACGAUGUAUUUGGCUUUAACACUGUUUAUCUGUUUUACAAAAAUAUGUUUGCGAACUCCUCUGAGCGUUUCUUGGAAAUAGAAUGCUUUUAGAUAGAGGCAUUAUUGAGGUGUGAUCCUCUGAAUUUAAAAAGUCUGAAUAUGACAUAUUUCAUACCCACGUACAUAUUUUAUAUAAAAAUAUGGUCAUGUUGGGGAAAAAUGAAAAAGAUGAACAGAUGUAAAGAAUUCGUCGUCCUGUUUGCUCUCGGGCCAUUCAUUUUCAGGCAGACAGUCUCUCAUGGUUUAUAUUUUCCCAGAAUUAUAUUUUUCACAGUAGAUAGGAACAUUCCGUUGCUAUGGAGUUCCUCUCAGGAACAAUGCCUUUCAACCGUAUUUGGAUCCAAGAAACGAGUCAGGUGCUUGAGAAGUGCCAGCCUCAGUUUCCAACAUUUCUUGCUUGGAAGAGGCUGAUAUCACUACUAAAAUAAUCACCCACACAGGAAGGAAGACAUUCUGGUAAUUCACUUGUCUCCAGGGAGUUUCAAACCAUGCUGGUUACAGAAGGUACUUGUAGAUUGACCAACCUGCUCCUGACACCAGUGCAAACACAUUUCUAUGUGGAGAAAGCACCAUGCAAGGUCUCCUGAACUCCAUUUAUGCUGACCAUAUUAUCUGCAGAGUCUUCCAAAAGAAUGAAAACACUUUAUGUUUAUGCUAUCCAGAGAGGCAGCCACUGGCUUUAUGGGCUGCUUGUGUGACUGAAGAACUGAUUGUUCAAGAUAUUUAGUUUAUUAAAUUUGCUUUUAGACAAAUUUGCACAUAUAUAAUACAUAUUUUUCUAGUUUGAUGUCUGCUGCUGUGAUUAAACACUAGGGCCAAACUCAGCUUAGGAGAAGAAUGAAUUUUAUUCAGGUUUUAAUUCCAGAUGAUAGUCUAACAUUGAAUGAUGCCAAGGAGUGUGCUUAAGGCAAGAUGUGAAGGCAGGCCUGCCUGGUAUUCCUCCCAGUAUUCUCUGUAACCAAAGAAAUCACCUCACAGGGAAAGUAGUAUAGUUGAAAACAUGGAGAAUGAAGCUUGCUAACCAACAUAUAUUUAGCCUGAUUUCUUAUACAAUUCAGAACCAUCUGCCUAGGGAAUGGUACUGCCCACAAGGGGCCUGACCUUCCUAGCAAUCAACACAUUCCCUAAUAGACCUGCCCACAGGCUAAUCUGAUCCAGGCAAUUGAGAUUCUCUUUGCAGAUAAUUCUGCCAUGUGUUGAACUUAAGAGGAUACAUUUUUGACUACUUUUACCACUACAUCCCUAUCAUCAACAUCAACCUCUCCCCAAGGUAAGUUCACAUAUAUUUAACUUGUUUCCAACCAACCAACCAACCAA